This 85-nucleotide transfer RNA is filed under the name Corynespora cassiicola Philippines. It matches the Rfam family "tRNA". From Rfam's summary of the family: Transfer RNA (tRNA) molecules are approximately 80 nucleotides in length. Lineage: Eukaryota; Fungi; Ascomycota; Dothideomycetes; Pleosporales; Corynesporascaceae. The record is from Rfam by way of RNAcentral.
GGGCCGGUAACUCAGUGGUAGAGUGUAGGACUGCAGUGACAUUUCUGUCUUCCCGAAGUCACCGGUUCGACUCCGGUUCGGCCCU